UACGUAGGUGGCAAGCGUUGUCCGGAUUUAUUGGGUUUAAAGGGUGCGUAGGCGGUUGAUUAAGUCAGUUGUGAAAUACGGCAGCUUAACUGUCGAGGUGCAAUUGAUACUGGUUGACUUGAGUACAGACGAGGUAGGCGGAAUUGACGGUGUAGCGGUGAAAUGCAUAGAUAUCGUCAAGAACACCGAUAGCGAAGGCAGCUUACUAGACUGUAACUGACGCUGAGGCACGAAAGUGUGGGGAU
Molecule: ribosomal RNA, 245 nt
Filed under: uncultured Ohtaekwangia sp.
Lineage: Bacteria; Pseudomonadati; Bacteroidota; Cytophagia; Cytophagales; Fulvivirgaceae
Description: partial 16S ribosomal RNA
Rfam family: Bacterial small subunit ribosomal RNA
Source: RNAcentral